GACGUAGGGCGCGAGCGUUGUCCGGAUUUAUUGGGCGUAAAGAGCUCGUAGGCGGCUUGUCACGUCGGUUGUGAAAGCCCGGGGCUUAACCCCGGGUCUGCAGUCGAUACGGGCAGGCUAGAGUUCGGUAGGGGAGACUGGAAUUCCUGGUGUAGCGGUGGAAUGCGCAGAUAUCAGGAGGAACACCGAUGGCGAAGGCAGGUCUCUGGGCCGCAACUGACGCUGAGGAGCGAAAGCAUGGGGAGCGAACAGG
This 253-nucleotide ribosomal RNA is filed under the name uncultured bacterium. RNAcentral describes it as "partial 16S ribosomal RNA". It matches the Rfam family "Bacterial small subunit ribosomal RNA", at positions 524 to 776 of the family's 1533-position model. The record is from RNAcentral.